UUGUGUCUUCCUCUUCUGGGUCUGCAGUUUGCAUUUUAGCACGAAACCUUUUCCAAGAGGAGUGCUAACUCUGGAGUCAGCUGGUCAGCUGUUAAUACACACAAAGACUUCUUGGGAAGCAGAACAAAAUGGUGACAACACCCUCUUUGUCACCCCUUUACACUACAGCUGUAAAUUUGACUUCUGCAAGUACAUCUGGAGCCACAACCAUUCAGGCAGAUUGUUCUUAUGGGUAUGAGCCCUGGGUAGUUGGAGUUGCCGCAGGGAUACCAAGCUUCCUGGUCUUCGUCCUUGCAGUCAUCUUGGUACUGGUCUGGGUUCACCAGGGGACAAACUGCAGCUGGAAGCAGACAAGCCAAAGUCCCAAGGUGCAAGAAGAACAUGAAUAUGAAUCAUCCCCUCCCAGACCUUCAGAAGACUUUUAUAUGACCAUGAUGGAGGGGACAACAAAUACCUAUGUAAAUGAAGAUCCAGAAAAAUAUCUCAAAACAGACAUCCAAACACCAGCAAAACCCAUAAGGAUGAAUAAGUCCAGAGGAGAACCACCUGUAGUGGAAUCCUUUUAUGAAAAUCGYCUGCCCUAUAACUGAAAGAAAAGCACCAAGUAGUGGCUGGGAACAGAAAUAGCAUGCAGAAUUAUUUUCUUAGUCACCAAGGGUCACAUGGCUGCAUUUUAUGGACAAGGGAGUUUUCUUUUUGUGCAUGCGUGUGUUUCUACAGAGGACAGUACAAAGAGACUUUGGAUGGGGAAGGAACCUGUUUGAACUGAUGCCUUUGAGAUACAGAAGCAAAAUGAGACUCCCCAGCAGUACCCAAACUCAGAGAGAUGGUUUUGCUGUCCUAGUAAAUUUAGGUUAAUUCAAUCUAAUACAGAACAGGUAAAUCUUUGCGGUGAAACUAGUGGUAGAAAAAAGCAGUCAGAGAUACUGUUUUUGCCUGCUUCUUGUUUUCAUUUGACAGACGGAGGCUAGAGCACAACUAAGAUGAGCUGAUAUGCCCAAGAAAAAUGGAGGAGGAAUAAAACUGCACCUUCU
This 1034-nucleotide long non-coding RNA is filed under the name Dromaius novaehollandiae (emu). Its description in RNAcentral is "lncRNA (ENSDNVG00000003242.1)". The record is from RNAcentral. Lineage: Eukaryota; Metazoa; Chordata; Aves; Casuariiformes; Dromaiidae.